CAGCCGCCGCGGUAAAACGAAGGUCCCGAGCGUUGUUCGGAAUCACUGGGCGUAAAGGGAGCGUAGGCGGCGUGGUAAGUCAGAUGUGAAAUCCCGGGGCUCAACCCCGGAACUGCAUCCGAUACUGCCAUGCUAGAGGAUUGGAGAGGUAGCUGGAAUUCUUGGUGUAGCAGUGAAAUGCGUGGAGAUCAAGAGGAACACUCGUGGCGAAAGCGAGCUACUGGACAAUAACUGACGCUGAGGCUCGAAGGCCAGGGUAGCGAAAGGGAUUAGAUACCCCGGUAGUCCCUGUCUCUUAUAC
Molecule: ribosomal RNA, 301 nt
Filed under: uncultured bacterium
Lineage: Bacteria
Description: partial 16S ribosomal RNA
Rfam family: Bacterial small subunit ribosomal RNA
Source: RNAcentral